Dioscorea cayenensis subsp. rotundata (Guinea yam) is the source of this 1058-nucleotide RNA transcript. It is a transcript of the gene named U11/U12 small nuclear ribonucleoprotein 31 kDa protein, with no coding region annotated. The record is from RefSeq and is a predicted model, not a curated record. NCBI's taxonomy places the organism in Eukaryota, Viridiplantae, Streptophyta, Magnoliopsida, Dioscoreales, Dioscoreaceae. The transcript is spliced from 3 exons.
AUGGGUCGCCGGCCUCGCGAGAGCGACGACGAAGACGAUGAUAUCCGCUACCACUACCCUCUUCCCUCCUCCACCUCCUACUAUGGCGCCGGCGUAUCCUCCAAGGGCUCCGGCGGUCGUGGCGGCAGCGGCGGGUCAGGUGGCCUGGCUCCAUCGAAAUCGACGGUCUAUAUCUCGAACUUGGACUACUCGCUGACAAACUCUGAUCUUCAUACCAUCUUCUCGACCUUCGGGAAGGUAGCCCGUGUCACUGUCCUCAAGGAUCGUGCCACUCGCGCCAGCCGUGGUGUGGCCUUUAUCCUCUUUGUCUCCCGCGACGAUGCGUCUUCGGCGGCUGCUGCCAUGAACGGGAAAAUCCUCAAUGGGCGGACCCUUUCGGCUUCUAUCGCCACCGAUAACGGCCGCGCCACGGAGUUCAUCCGGCGCCGCGUUUAUCGUGACAAGAGUCGGUGCUAUGAGUGCGGAGAAGGGGGACAUCUAUCAUAUGAGUGCCCGCGUAACCAGUUGGGGGCUAGGGAACGACCAAACCCUAAGAAGACUCGGAGAGCGGCUCAGAGAGAAGACGGUGGUGGGGAUGAUGGUGCCUUUGAUGGCGGGGAUGAAUUAGGAUUUGAGGAUGAUAACUGGGCAUCAGUGGUGGACACUAGGGAUUUCGAGGAGAAAGCUAGAGGGAGGGAGGAGGUGAUGGACCCGGAUUUAGAUUCAAAGAAGGAGAAGAAGAAGAAGAAGAAGGAGAAGAAGUUGAGCUAUUUUAGCGAUGAAAGUGGCGAGGAUGAUUAAAAAAGGACUAUCUUGACUGAUGAAGACACCUCUGUUUUCAUCUCCAGGUUGCAUUUCCCUCGCAAAUUGUCCUCUGACAGCAGAACAAGAGAGACCCAAUCUUUUCGUGAUAUGCAGAAUGAUGUCCAUGUUUCUUGGAGAUAGUAUUUGUGACACCAUGUUGGAAUUUGUUCAUCAGGGGCAUGCCAAAAAAAUAAAAAAAGUAUUUGUGAACAACUUGUUGAAUAUUUUGAAUAUUUUCUCAUUUGUCAACCAUGCUCAACAACAUCUCUUAUUUA